GAUGAACGCUGGCGGCGUGCCUAAUACAUGCAAGUCGAACGCUGGAGAUCUAGCUUGCUAGAUCAAGGGGUGGGGAACGGGUUGGUAAUUCAUAAGCAACCUAACCCACAAGACCGGGAAAAAUCUCGGAAACGGGGGACAAUACCGGGUAGGUUAAUCGGAGGCCUCUUUCUGGUUUUAAAGGGUUAAAAAACCUGGUGAUGGGCUUAUUGCGCAUUAGUUAGUUGGUGAGGGUACGGCCCACCAAGACGAUGAUGCGUAGCCGGCCUGAGAGGGUGAACGGCCACAUUGGGACUGAGACACGGCCCAGACUCCUACGGGAGGCAGCAGUAGGGAAUUUUCGGCAAUGGGGGCAACCCUGACCGAGCAACGCCGCGUGAGUGAAGACGGCCUUCGGGUUGUAAAGCUCUGUUGUAAGGGAAGAACGGUAGAUAGAGAAUAUCUAAGUGACGGUACCUUACCAGAAAGCCACGGCUAACUACGUG
This 485-nucleotide ribosomal RNA is filed under the name uncultured bacterium. RNAcentral's name for it is "partial 16S ribosomal RNA". It matches the Rfam family "Bacterial small subunit ribosomal RNA", at positions 28 to 507 of the family's 1533-position model. The record is from RNAcentral.